Diceros bicornis minor is the source of this 1252-nucleotide long non-coding RNA. RefSeq lists it as uncharacterized. Lineage: Eukaryota; Metazoa; Chordata; Mammalia; Perissodactyla; Rhinocerotidae. The transcript has 7 exons. The record is from RefSeq and is a predicted model, not a curated record.
CCUACUCCCUUUCCGAGGCCGGCCGCGUGGCUGCAAGUCAUGGCGGCCUCCUUCGGGGAGAGCGCGGCGAGCAGCGUUCGGCUUUUGGCGAUGAUCUUUGGUGUCUGCAGAGAUGGUGAGAGCAGACCUGCAGGUUGAAUCUUAGAAGUAAUGAAUGGAGCCCUGAAAUGAAUUAAAGGUGUUGGCUGCGGACUUUGAAAAAGUCACGGCAAAACCAUCAUCUUAGGAUGCUGAGUGUAAGGAUCUUUGUGAUGAAGUUUCUAUAAAUGAACCAUGAAAAUAUGGCCAAUUGAUAUGAUUUGGCAGGGCAUUAUUUUUUUCUUCAGCUUUAUCGGUCCAGUCUCAGCUGCAGUUUGAGGCUGAAGAGCCUCCUCCAGAAGAAGACACUAACUGGCAGCAGCACCGUGUCAGCUGCGCUGGACCUGAAGUGGAAUUUUUCUCGUGCGUGUAAUAGAUAAGACCUUCCGAAUGGGCUUAGAUGUCUGCAGUGUGUGAGACAGAACUGAACUGAUUUGCUUGAAGCAAGUGAAAUGACUGCUCUCCUAUUAUUUGAAGACUGGCCCUGGGCUAACAUCCGUGCCCAUCUUCCUCCACUUUAUACGGGACGCCGCCACAACAUGGCUUGCCAAGCAGUGCGUCCGUGCGCGCCCGGGAUCCGAACAGGUGAACCCCGGGCCGCUGCAGCGGAGCGCGCGCGCUUAACCGCUUGCGCUACUGGGCCAGCCUCGUGUGAUUGCAUUUUGUUCUCUAAAGUAGUUUAUUCUUUAAAUUUAGCCUUCAGUUUUGAGUCCCCUGGUUGGCUGCUAUAUCAAAUGAAUCUCCUUUGCUUUUACAGGUUAUCUCCCAAUGAUCCCAGAUGGGAUCAGCACAGCCUCUGCUGCUAAUUGCUAAUGCCUAUAAAAUAAUCCCCGAAAAGGAGAAUCAUUUAAGAGUUCUUUGGACUUCAUCUUCAAAAGUAGCCAAAGAAUUCAGGUGACAGUGAGUUUAUCCCAGAAAACCUUGGGCAGUUAGUGAAAUUAGGGGCUAACUAACAACAUUCAGAACUCCAGUUUAGGUGAUCUGGGUAUAGCUCAUGUGUUGGCAGAAAUGCAGUGAUUGUAAAUUGAAAGUAAUUAACAUGUACAUGCUCUGUUGGGGGAGACAAGGGGAAACAGAUGCUCAGCCUAGAAAAAUGGUUCUCAGUGGAUUUCCUGUUAAGUCACUGUGUCUUGGGCUUAAAUUUUGAAGUGCAAAUAAAAAUGUAAAAAACUGA